UACAGAGGUCUCAAGCGUUGUUCGGAUUCAUUGGGCGUAAAGGGUGCGUAGGUGGCGUGGUAAGUCGGGUGUGAAAUUUCGGAGCUUAACUCCGAAACUGCAUUCGAUACUGCUGUGCUUGAGGACUGGAGAGGGAAGUGGAAUUUCCGGUGUAGCGGUGAAAUGCGUAGAUAUCGGAAGGAACAUCAGUGGCGAAAGCGACUUCCUGGACCAAUACUGACGCUCAUGUGCGAAAGCGUGGGGAGCAAACAGG
Molecule: ribosomal RNA, 253 nt
Filed under: uncultured bacterium
Lineage: Bacteria
Description: partial 16S ribosomal RNA
Rfam family: Bacterial small subunit ribosomal RNA
Source: RNAcentral